AGUUCGGCGCGCAGCCGGUUCGCGUCUGUGUGUUCCGCGCGCGACUUCCGCCUGAUCAACGCUCGUUUCUUCGUCGCAACUCGCAUCGGUUCGUCGUUGACUCGGAGUGUUUUUCGCGUUGACUUGCCGUAAACGUGGUCAGAUAAAACAGAAAUUUUUUGCGGGUGAUUAGAGGAUAAUAACGGUGUAUAAGAGGGAACAGCGUGGAGGAUCAUGGUGUGACUCGAGUGAUUAAACAGAUCUUUCGGAAAGAUCGACAAGGUUGACCAGUGGUUGUGUGGUGAUUGGUUUUGGUGGUGGUGCUUGAUACGCUCCUGGGAGUCGGAAGCUCGUUGGCACUUGGGCCUCGUUUUCGUCGGUUUACUCAUGCUGGGAGUUUUGAAGCGGCGUUGGAAGCCAUCGAAAAGGGCUUCCAGCGUCCGCGGACCUGAUUCGCCCCUCAGCUCGGAACUGACGCUCGACAAGCCUCGCCCCAUACCAUCACCCAGACAAAUUCAUCCCCUUUACGGCGAGAAAGCUGGCCUUCUGGGGUACUGCGACCCCGUCGGUAACGUAGAAAAUUUUCCACCAGCCCCUAAUAUCGUCGUCGAGGGUGGCAGAAUCGAGUUUGUGCGCCCCUCGCAGGAUGGCACCACAACACCCCGAAGGAACACCAUGUCCCGAGGCUCGCAGACCUUCAGCGACGAGUCCGAGAAGUCUGAUCCUGCGAAGGAGAGUUUGGAGGAGCGAGUGCAAGAGUUGGAGCAAGCGUUGCAGGCAGAACGCUUCGCUGCACAACGAGAUCGAGCGACGAUCACGAAACUGCAACGACAGAUCAACAAGAGAGAGGCCACGCAGCGAGAUGUGGAACGUGAACGACGACAACGAAUGGAGGCCGAAGCUCGUGUACGCGAGGUUACGGCAGAAGCUGAAAGAGCACGCUCCAGGGUUCAUCAUCUUCAAAGAGAACUGGCCAGGAUGGAGGAGACGUCACGGGGGUUGCUGCAGCACAAGCACAGGGCUGAACAGCUGAAGCAAGAGAAAACCGCGCUCACGCUUUCUUACGAGGCACGCGUACACCAGUAUCAAGCACAAAUCUCGAAGCUGCAACUAGAGAACGAGUCAAUGAGGGGUCAGCUGCGUGGUUUGGAAGCUGCAUGCGCUGGCGAAGUGCAUGCUGCACUUGUGGCACGUCUGGCGACCUUGGAAACAGAACACGCCGCCUUGGCGCGCGACGCCGACGCUCAGCGUCGCCAGUACGAGCGGUGCCUGGACGACGUCGCCAACCAGGUGGUCCGCGCCCUUCUAUCCCAAAAGGGUCUCAGGGAAGAAAUCGGUGCAUUGCAGAGGCGUAUUCGGGAGCUCGAGGCUCAAAAUCGGGCGCUUUCAGGAUUAUUGGCACAGGCAGCGAGUCCUGGAAGUCCGACAGAGUUGAUUCAAGGGAUCCUAGAAGCUGGACCAGCAGCAGUGGUCGCUGCACUUGGUCUGGAUCCAGCUUGGGUUCCUUUAUCGAGGCCCCGUUCGCUUAAUCUACAAAUACCAGUGAUGGCCGCUACCAAGUGUAGACGAAACAGACCUUUGGCUCAGAAACCAUCGGAAGAGGAAGGUAGCGAGAGUCCAGAGAGCGGCAACAGGGAUGAGGGUUACUCGACGAUGUCCAGCGACGUCCAAGGAGAGGGUGCUAGACAGGAGCCAUCCCGAGGGUUGGAGGAUCUCAAAGAAGCGACCGACGAGACGGAGGCGGAUGUUUCUCCGGAUGCACGAUUGGUCGCCCUUGACGCCGGCGAUCCUGACGUUCUAUUUUUGCCGUUGAAUCUCACCGUAGGAAUAAAUCCACGUCACAGCUAUCCACCGACCAAAGAUUUGCUGCCGUAUCAACACGUGAUGCGUAGCUUCUCUGACAGUCACCUAUGUCUCAAGUUGACCACAACGACCAAUUUUACACCGUACAAACUGCCGAGCCCCAUUGGAUCCUCCUCUUUGCUACUCGUUGAAGAGGAGGGUUGGGACGCUGAAUACGUACAACAAUGGCUCAGGUUGGACGACAGCAGAAGUGCUCAACAACAUCGAGAUCUCCUCGAGUUGGAAUACGACAGAGCAGAACUGGAAGAUUGGAGUUUCUCGUUGUCCACCGAGGACCUUGUUCAAAAUGAAUCCACGGCAUGGAAGGAACCUGCUACCGCCACGACCACCCCGGCUCUCCCGGCAAUCAAGGAACAUAAUCCUCUAGAAUUGGAGGAGGACGCGAACGAAUGCUUAUGGAAUGGUGCCAGUUACCUAGCUGAUAGAACCGGAGGCGAAUUGGUUGCCUUAUUAAUGGAUGCUAGAGCAACAGGAUCGUGGCCGUACGCGACAAGUCCAGGCGCCUCCUGGAGCAGCGAAGAAGGAGGCCAAGAGAAUUCGAGCAAACGAUCAUCGGCAGCUUUGUCUGGCUGCAGCGACGAUCCAGAUUCUCCAUCCGUCGGAACCGACUUUACCAGAGACUUCUACAGACUGGUAAAGUUCGAGAGUACAAAAAGCUUGGCCAGUACGUCAUCCAGGAGCGGAAGACCUCCUCCAGACAGGGAGCAAGCUCUCCAAAGCGUAUUGUCAUUCAUCGCUGAACAACAAAUGUACCUUGCCGAACUGCCGAAUAAUCUUCUGGAACACAACCCGGCCCACACAACGGAAGUUGUAGAGGAAACUGAAAACAAAGACGAGCGUGGAACCGAGGCGAUGUGCACCGAAAUAGAAACAUCCGUCGAUCAAGAUAACAGCAACACGGAGAACGUUGUUGAAACGAGCAGUAACGACGAUCUGCUGGAUCAGAUACCUGUGCCGUCUUUAGCGCCAGAAGAGAGAAUAAUCAGCGCAGUGGCGUGUAACGGUGGUGUGUCCUACACCACGGUAGCACCCUCGGAAUUGGGCGCCGUUCCUGAGGAAGACGAGGAAGCCGCCACUUCUUCUACACCGAGCACGGUUGUGAGUCCAGCAAGAGCGCCCCUGUUAGUCGAAGGCAGAGAUCGAUCGUUGAGUUUCCAUGAGCGUGCGACAUCGAAAGAUGUGAUAGACGAACUGAAUCGAAUGAUCAGGAAGGGUGAAGAAAACACAGUCAGCCACGAAACCCAGGUGCCGCUAGAGAAAUUGGAUCUCGCUUGCUGCUGUCCAACAGGAUGGGUUCACGUUGAACGAGACAUUGACUUUACCGACCCAAAAGCAAGAGCCAAUCUUUUAGACGUGAUGUUAGAAAGCAGCGAAAGUUCUUCGGCGACAUCGAGCAGCGGAUCAGCAGGAAGUGACUCUGGGGAUGAACCACCGGAUUACCGUCACUUGCACAGACUCCACCGAUACCGACGACAAAAGAAAGAUGGUAGCUCCUACGCGGUGUGCUUUGAUUGUCACAAGAAAAGCUACGUAGUUCGGCUUAGUGACGAUCAGUUUCUGUAAUCGACAUGCCAGUUGGGAGGAAUCGUUUCGCCGGGACCUAGUUUGGGCCAGAUCCAACGUGAACUAGCCGGUAUAGGAAGAGAAAGAAAAGAGAUCAAGUGAGGUCUGAGGCAUGUUGACCCGCUGC
Molecule: unclassified non-coding RNA, 3532 nt
Filed under: Megachile rotundata (alfalfa leafcutting bee)
Lineage: Eukaryota; Metazoa; Arthropoda; Insecta; Hymenoptera; Megachilidae
Description: uncharacterized LOC100876384, transcript variant X2
Source: RNAcentral